Molecule: ribosomal RNA, 392 nt
Filed under: uncultured bacterium
Lineage: Bacteria
Description: bacterial SSU rRNA
Rfam family: Bacterial small subunit ribosomal RNA
Source: RNAcentral
AUUGAACGCUGGCGGCAUGCCUUACACAUGCAAGUCGAACGGCAGCACGGGAGCAAUCCUGGUGGCGAGUGGCGAACGGGUGAGUAAUAUAUCGGAACGUGCCCAGUCGUGGGGAUAACGUAGCGAAAGCUACGCUAAUACCGCAUACGAUCUAUGGAUGAAAGCGGGGGAUCGCAAGACCUCGCGCGAUUGGAGCGGCCGAUAUCAGAUUAGGUAGUUGGUGAGGUAAAGGCUCACCAAGCCGACGAUCUGUAGCUGGUCUGAGAGGACGACCAGCCACACUGGGACUGAGACACGGCCCAGACUCCUACGGGAGGCAGCAGUGGGGAAUCUUGGACAAUGGGCGCAAGCCUGAUCCAGCAAUGCCGCGUGCAGGAUGAAGGCCUUCGGUU